This is a long non-coding RNA of Macadamia integrifolia, 475 nucleotides long. RefSeq lists it as uncharacterized. The record is from RefSeq and is a predicted model, not a curated record. NCBI's taxonomy places the organism in Eukaryota, Viridiplantae, Streptophyta, Magnoliopsida, Proteales, Proteaceae. The transcript has 3 exons.
GAAUCUACCAGAAUCUCUUUCCUCUCUCUCUCUGGUUCUGUACAAAUUCCUAGAUUUCAUCAAUGGCGGGUGGAAACGUUUCCUUCAAAGUCACUCUGACUUCGGAUCCAGAGCUCCCACUCAAAGUUUUUAGUGUCCCUGAGGCAGCUCCUUUCGCGGCAGUUCUUUGCGGCAGAAGAAUUCAAAGUUCCUCCCCAAACUAGCGCUAUCAUCACCAACGUUGAACAAUUGUGUUGCGGUUACCUGACCUUUCUGUUUGGUUAAAAAUUUUCCUGCUAUGAUGGUUGAGCUUGUGUGUGAUUGGGUUGAAUAAUGGGUUGUGGGUGUUCCCUUCAGCAGACCUCUAUUGUGACUAUUAUCUACCUCCAAAUGAGAGUCUGAUACUCUGAUCAAGCUUAGAUUCUUGAAACAUCAGGUGAAAGUUGCCCUUGAUUCUAUGUUUAAAGAAAAGUGUCCCAGCAGAAAGAUUGAAGAU